AGAGUUUGAUCCUGGCUCAGAACGAACGCUGGCGGCGUGCUUAACACAUGCAAGUCGAACGGAUCAGUGGGGAAGGGCAACCGGAAGCACUGGUUAGUGGCGCACGGGUGAGUAACACGUAGGCAACCUACCCUCAGGCGGGGGACAACCCAGGGAAACCUGGGCUAAUACCGCAUAAGACCACGGACUGGGAUGUCCGGGGUAAAAGGAGCAAUUCUCCUGGGGAUGGGCCUGCGGCCUAUCAGGUAGUUGGUGGGGUCAAGGCCUACCAAGCCGAAGACGGGUAGCCGGUCUGAGAGGACGAACGGCCACACUGGAACUGAGACACGGUCCAGACUCCUACGGGAGGCAGCAGUGGGGAAUUUUGCACAAUGGGCGCAAGCCUGAUGCAGCGACGCCGCGUGGAGGAUGAAGGCCUUCGGGUUGUAAACUCCUUUUGUAGGGGAAGAUAAUGACGGUACCCUGCGAAUAAGCCACGGCUAACUCUGUGCCAGCAGCCGCGGUAAUA
This 508-nucleotide ribosomal RNA is filed under the name uncultured bacterium. RNAcentral's name for it is "bacterial SSU rRNA". It matches the Rfam family "Bacterial small subunit ribosomal RNA", at positions 8 to 525 of the family's 1533-position model. The record is from RNAcentral.